AACGAACGCUGGCGGCAUGCCUAACACAUGCAAGUCGAACGAGACCUUCGGGUCUAGUGGCGCACGGGUGCGUAACGCGUGGGAAUCUACCCUUGGGUUCGGAAUAACUCAGAGAAAUUUGAGCUAAUACCGGAUGAUGUCGCAAGACCAAAGAUUUAUCGCCCAAGGAUGAGCCCGCGUAGGAUUAGCUUGUUGGUGAGGUAAAAGCUCACCAAGGCGACGAUCCUUAGCUGGUCUGAGAGGAUGAUCAGCCACACUGGGACUGAGACACGGCCCAGACUCCUACGGGAGGCAGCAGUGGGGAAUAUUGGACAAUGGGCGAAAGCCUGAUCCAGCAAUGCCGCGUGAGUGAUGAAGGCCUUAGGGUUGUAAAGCUCUUUUACCCGGGAUGAUAAUGACAGUACCGGGAGAAUAAGCCCCGGCUAACUUCGUGCCAGCAGCCGCGGUAAU
Molecule: ribosomal RNA, 450 nt
Filed under: uncultured bacterium
Lineage: Bacteria
Description: bacterial SSU rRNA
Rfam family: Bacterial small subunit ribosomal RNA
Source: RNAcentral